UUCAGGCUGUGGCACCACAUCCAGGGGACAAAGAGCGCGUCGGUUGUCCCCACCCUGCAGCUCUUGGGUCCAUGUCUUCUCUCUCCGCGCCAUAAAGCCAGAGUUCCCAUUUCAGUCACUACAAUCACCCCUCCUUGCACCAGGCCUUCCAGGUGUGGGGCAUGGGCAUGUUUACCUCUGGCCUGUGUGGACCGCUGUGGGGAGGCUUGGCCAGCAAGUUGCUGAGCCAAGUAUCUUUUAUGGGAUCCUGCCGCUCCACAGGAGGAUCCGGGAGGCUGAACUAGAGUUAAGUUAGAAUCUUUCGGUUCCCCUUCGGGCUGGGCUCCCCGCAGGAACCAGGAACGGGCUGGCCAGGAGGACAUGAUGGACCGGGAGAAGGUGACAGAGGCAAAGCCAGACCCUUCCUGUUCCAUCUUGCAGAGGCUGUCCCAACGCGAGGUGAGGCCAGGUGCCUGGGGGACAUCGAUGCCUGACCAGAGCCCAGCCUGGACAGCCUUCCAGCAAAGGCUGGGCACUGGCCGACCGUAACGGCCCAGGAGAAUGAGGACACGGGAGUCUCGGGGCUGGAGGAGCUGGCUGACCAGAUGGUGCCUGACACGGUGCUGAAAACAGGGCAGCAGUCCCCAGAGGCUGAGGGGCCAAAGUAGCCUGUCCACCCAGAGUGGCGAGGCCCACGCCUGUGCAGGAGGCCUGAGGCAUGGGGUGGCCUCCCUCACAGCUGUGCCCACCCAGCCUGUGCGCAGGGCGAUGUGCUCCUAUGUCUGGGCAGUGAGCUGGGCCCUGCGGCGAGAGCAGCAGCAGCUCGAUUUCACACGGAGCCACUAGGGAGUGGGCCGUUCCCUUGGCCAUACCCGUGGGGGACCCAGUUCAUCUGUGGAAUUCAGAACCCCAGAGUAUUUAAUCUGCCAUCUCAGGACCUCCGCUGGGGAGCUGGGGCAGGUGGGUGGGUGGUCCCGCUGGGCUUCCGUGGUGCAUGCCAGGGACCUCAGAAUGGAGCGCCCCACUGAGCCAGCGGCUCUGCUUCAGGCCCAAGAGCAGGGAGUAAGAGAGAAGCCUGCUCAGGCAGAACAGGUGACACUCGUGGCGGGGGCUGCACCCCAAACACUUGCCAUCCGACUAAGGGUGUGGGGCAGCCCUUCUUUCCUUAGUCCUGGCAUGUCGGGUGGGUCAGCUUGGUGGACAGCUGGCCCUGCUGACCCGGGAUCCGCCCUGGGUUCCCCAUGGCCUGGAGGCAGGAGGAGAUGGCCACUGCAUCCAGCGUCGCCUCCUGGUGCUGCGGGCCCCUGACGGACAGAGGACGCUCGACCCCUGCCCGCCACCGCCCAGGGAGUCAGCCCGACUCCCAGGCACCCGCCCCUCUCCCUGCCUGGAGCUCAGCUCGCGGGGUUGGCUAGGGAGUGAUGGGGAGUGGAAUCCAGCGACACCAGGUCACCCUUCCGGGAGCCUUUUCUCCAGCUGGGACGAGAGGGAAUCAAAGGAAAGUAAGACACGGCUCAGGAGGCGGGGACGCGCCUGAAAACAGGGCGGGAGCCUUUCCAACCCCCGCGGGCUGCGAUGCAGCAGAAAACUCGGCCGCCUGCACCGGGGAUUCUCCAGAAACACAGGCGUGCCUGGGUGUGCGCUCAACUUCCCGGGCGAGGGACGUUUCUGCACUUGCCCUCGGCUUCUGAACUUUGUACUUUGCGAGUGUACUUUGUACUUUGGUCCUGUGUCCCUGCAGCCCUGUGACUACACGCGCACACGCAGGCGCGCGCACACGCGAACUGACGGCUCGCUGGCGAUGCUGGAGG
Molecule: long non-coding RNA, 1790 nt
Filed under: Homo sapiens (human)
Lineage: Eukaryota; Metazoa; Chordata; Mammalia; Primates; Hominidae
Description: HSALNT0170636
Source: RNAcentral